CCAGGCCCAUUGGGGCUCCGCCUUCAAGGCUUCUUGAGUCUCCGGGUUGCUGGGUCGGGUGCAGGUCAAAGGCUUCCCGCUCACCUCCUGGAAAAUGACGGCUUCUCGCGGGCCUCGGAGGGCACCUCGUCGCCGUCCCUUCUCUUCUUGGAGCCACUUCGUUGGGAUCCUUUUGGUGACGCUCGCGCUCUGGUUACCUGCAUCCACCGAUGCCUGUGAUGAGAUACCAAGAUAUGAAUCUAUGAAAGCCAAGGGUAAUCCUGUGCCCCCUGUAAGUCCUGGGUUCGCAGUAGAAUAUGAGUGUCGCCCAGGAUACAGGCUUAUUGUUCCUCUUGUUCGUCCCACCACCACUGUUUGUCUGGCUGAUGGCACAUGGGCACCUCCUCUCCAGGAGGCUUGUACAAGAAAAUCAUGUCCACAGCUAACAGAGCCCCUAAAUGGCCGCGUAGAAGGAAGUUUUCAGUUUGGUUCACAGGCUAACUACUCUUGUAAUGAGGGCUAUAACUUAGUUGGAACACCAGUUCUACAUUGUCAACUUGCUGGAGAUGGGAAUAAUGUGGCUUGGAGUGGUGACCCCCCACAGUGUGAAAAGAUUUUGUGUCAACCACCUAAACAAAUAGAAAAUGGAAUAUUCAGCAAUAGCCACAAGGAUAUAUUUGAAUAUAAUGAAGUAGUCACUUACAGUUGUAAACCUUCGACUGGGCCAGAUGAGUAUUCACUUGUUGGAGAGAGCAGACUGAUUUGUACUGGGCCAAACAAAUGGAGUAGUAACCCUCCUGAGUGUAAAGUGGUCAAAUGUCCAUAUCCAUCACUCCCUGAUGGAACUAUUGUGUCAGGAUUUGGGAAAAAAUAUUACUACAAAGCAGAAGUUCAGUUUGAAUGCAACCAGGGUUAUUCCCUUGAAGGCAGCCGCAAAAUUGUCUGUGAAGCUAAUAAUGCCUGGGUACCCGAGAUUCCUCGCUGUGUUAAAGUGGUGACUUCUCCUCCCAGUACCACACCUCCGAUUUUGAGUCCUUCAGUGUCAACUCCUCCCAGCACAAACCCUCCAAUUUCCAGUGUCACAGGUGUCACACCUAGUCCACCAACCAAGCCUCCAGUUUCAAGUGGUCCAGGACGUCCCACUCCUGAUGAAACACCAUCUCAAUCAUUAGGUGCUGGAGCCAUUGCUGGCAUUAUUAUUGGUAUAUGUGUUUUCUUGGGACUCAUCGUUCUUUGCUGCUUUAUGUACCAUAAGAAGAAGAGGAAAGGGUUGCAGAAAAACUGAUGGGGGUUAAACUUGCUGAGAGGGCUCUCAGUUAAGAAUACUAACAAUAGGAUCCCAAAUUGGUCAGAAAUGGGCCCCAUCUCCACGUUCCUUCCUCGUCCGUCCAGUUUCCGUUCUGAGCUGAUUCCCCGCACUUUCCAGUCUGGGCGUGCACAGCCCUUGGCCUGUCCUUUGCUGCCGCUGCCGUCACGUUUUACGUGUCUUGACUGUGCGCUGCCAGCUGCCUUUUGUUUACAUUAACAUUUUCCCUUAUUUGUAGUGAAUACUUUCCUCACUGAUGCAUGGUUUGCUUUAUUCUAGUUACAUCAUUCCAGGAUAAGUACGAGUUUGCCAUGUUCAUUAGAAUUCUCUGCAUAAUUUAUGUAUUUUAAUAAUGUGACUAAAUCGUUUUGUUUUUUUACAUUAAAGAUAUUUAAUGACUUGUUAUAACAUAAACCUGUUUUUAAUAUUAGGUUAAUCAUGCCUGAUGCAGUAACUUUGUGAUUUUUAAGCCGCCUGCUUAAAUGAAUGUCACAAGGUUUGGGGGAUUAACUGUAUAUAGUGGCCAGGGCAGGUGGUUGGCAGAAUAGUGACCUGGGACACAACAGAAGGAUCAAAUGAAUGUGAACAUUUUUCUAGUUGGGUCUCAAAUUCUGGAGCAUUCAACAAACUCUUCAAAUAUUUUAAACAGAAGAUUAAGAAGAAACAAAGAUUUUGUAGUUAGUGGAGAGAGCACAUUUAUGAGAUUUAGACCCACCCCAGGGAAAUGGGAGAGGCCUUAUAACGAGUUUACAGAGAUUCUUCCCUCAGUGCAGAAGUCAGGAUGCAUCUGCAGAUGUGCAGCUUGUCAUAAAGCAGAUUUCUAAGACAGUACUACAUGCAUUUAAUAUUAUGCCGUGUGCUCCCUCAGAGCCUAAGGUGCUAGAGCCCAGGCCGUUUCUCCUCCCCACCUUGCUAUACUGUGAAAGAGUUUGUUCACUUCAGGAUCUGUAAGAUUCUAAGUUAAAGUAGCUUCUGGCACCACGCUCCUCUUUCCAGUUCCUAAGAAUCAGAAAUGUCAUGAUGUCUGGAGCUAAUUGUCAGCUUUCCUUCUGUUCGGCCCUGUCAUUGAUUUUAUCCCUGUUAUUAUGCCACUCUUCCUUAUGAUUUGUUAUCACUAUUUUAUUCAGCCCUUUUCCCUUCCUCUGUUCAGCACCUACCUAACUGGUGAGAGCCACAAAGAAGUAAAAUUUAUUUCUCUAUGAGAAGAUGAGAUGAGAGAAAGGAAAACAGAAGGCACUGCUGCCUACAGCACGUACCAGAAUAAAUCAAGCACUCCAGCACAGUAGACGCUGUGACGGACUUUCCAGAACGCUCUACCACUUCAUCUUUUUUAAAAUGUCAGGAAAGACCCACAUUAAAUUCGAUGGCUACUAUGCAAAACAGUAUGGAAGGCCCUCAAAAUUAAAACCGGAGCCACCCUAUGACCUUACGGGAAUAUAUCUGAGUGAAGGGAAAUCACUAUGUGGAAGAGAGAAUCUUCUGCCCCUCCCUGUUUGUUGCAGCCCUAUUUACAGUAACAAAGACAUGGAAGCAACCUGAAGUGCCGUCAGCCAAUCAGUGGAUAAGGGAGAUGUCUGCACGUACAGUGAAAUACUACUCAGUCAUUAAAAAGGAAAACGUAUUGGCCUUCAGGACAUUUUGCUAAGUGAAAUAAGUCAUAUAUAUAAAGAGACACAUACUGUAUGAUCUCCUUUAUAUGUAGAGUCUAUUUUAAAAAAACUCAUCAAAGAAGCAAUCAGAUUUGUGGGUGGGGUGAGAGAACUGGAUGAAGGUAGUGGUCAAAAGAUUCAAAUUUAGUUAUAAGCUAAGCACGUAUUGGAAUGUAACGUACAGCAUGGUGACUAUAACUAGUAAUACUUUAUUGCAUAUUGGCAAGUUCCUUAAAGAAUAGAUCUUAAACAUUCUGAUCAUAAGGGAAAAGAUUUUUUUGUAAUUAUGUGAGUUGAUAGAUGGUAACUAAAAUUUGCUCAUCAUUUCAUAAUAAACUUAUCAAAUCCUUACGCUGUACACCUUAAACUUAGUUAAUGUUACAUAUCAAUUACAUCUCAAUGAACUAGAAGGGGGAAAAGAUCUACAAAGGCGUUCUCUGGUUUAUUUCACUGUGAAGGCAUAAUGCUAACAUGUCUCAGUGCCACUUGAAUGUAGUCACUAUCCUUUGACCCCUCUGAAAUGGGUGUGAACUUGGGAAUGAACAGCUAGCCUGUUAUCCCUUAAAAAAACAUUUGCAUUUAUAGAGCAAUUCAACACAGUGCCCUUGGAUUAUGGUAGGGAAAUGAUGUUUUUUAUAAACUCUGAAUAUUUAGAGAAGUAUAGUUUAAAAUGAGACAUUUCAUCUAUAAAGUGUGAUUUUGCAAUGUUCAUUUCCAAAGUUAAUACCAACUUUCAAGAUUCUUUUAACAACUCUCUUAUGUGUAUUGUAGAUUCUUUAUUGUAAAAAGUCUGUACAAAUAUGUGUAUACUGCUUCAGCCCUUAAAAAUUAAAAACAAUUAUCACUGAAAACUGGGAAUUUGAGUAAGUUUGACCUCCUUAACUAAGAAUAUUAUGGGGAAGUAAUUUUACAGGGGAUGGGAUAAAUUUCUAUUUUGCAAAAUAUAUUUUAACUUCUUGGUGAUUUAGAGAAGCCAUGAAGUUAAUGUGUGGCAUUUGUUCUUCACCUUUUCUAACAUCAACAAACCAGCCUGAGAAUAACAAUUUAGGCUCAGUUGCUUACUUCUAUAAAAAGUUAGAGGGCGCUAACACUCCUAACAGGAAUGCCAGCUGUGGCCUUGUGGUUUUCUUGGGGAGAAUUCCCCUCUUUAAGAGAGAACAUAGAAUGCGCUCUGAAUUCUGGCCUAGGGGGUUUUCUCUCCAGACUUGAAUAAAAAGCUCUCUCACUUCAGUAAGUCACCUGACAGUAGUUUGUAGGGAGUAAAUCCAUCAGAUAUCCCAAGUUGCAUCAGAAUUAGUCUUUGUGUGGGUCUCACCUCACCUGCUAAAAGGCAGAGUAAACAUUAAGCCACAUAUUUCAGAAAAACAAAAACCUAAACUUUGUGCAUUGGCUGUUGGUCCUAUGCAGAGGAGAAAAACCAUGUAGCUCAGGUAUCACUUUAUGCUCAGGUGGACCAGAUCCCUCCCUCUCCGAGUCCUCACACCUGGCAGGGUCUCUUUCAAAUGAGCCAAGGGCAAAGAGGAGGAACUGCCACUCUCAUAUAUUCUUAAAGAGUUUUUAUUUACAUUUUUAUUUUUAGUGACUCAAAUUGGUCUGAAGAAAUGUUGCCCUGAGAGGGAUAUGUUUGGAAAAUCAGAGUGGACCAGAGUAAAUACUAUUUUACUUUAUAAAGUGUUCCUUCCCUUUGUAAUCUCUGGGGAGGGGCAUUUUUGAACCAAAGAUUGUUAUUCUUCCCAAAAUUAACUUUGAUAAUAGUGCUUCAAGUUUACUCUUUUUUUAAUUUUAUAUGAGAUAUAUGCAUAUAACUAUUAUGUUGUGAAAUUCUGUUACUGAAAUAUAUGGGGAAACCACUUUUCUGUAGAAAAAUUUGUUUAAAUGACAGAGGAGGAAGUAUAUUUGAAUUAAAUGUUUCUUAAAACGAGAAGAAUGUAUUUGCAUUGAAGUGGGAAGCCCCACGAAUGGAGGUCUUUAUUGCUUUUUGAAAAAUGUGUUCUUAAAAUCUGAUAAAAUAAAAUGUAGGGUGGGUUAAA
RNA transcript from Myotis lucifugus (little brown bat), 4964 nucleotides. It is a transcript of the gene named CD46 molecule, with no coding region annotated. The record is from RefSeq and is a predicted model, not a curated record. The transcript has 15 exons. NCBI's taxonomy places the organism in Eukaryota, Metazoa, Chordata, Mammalia, Chiroptera, Vespertilionidae.